This 160-nucleotide ribosomal RNA is filed under the name Fonsecaea sp. RNAcentral describes it as "partial large subunit ribosomal RNA". It matches the Rfam family "Eukaryotic large subunit ribosomal RNA", at positions 99 to 261 of the family's 3401-position model. Lineage: Eukaryota; Fungi; Ascomycota; Eurotiomycetes; Chaetothyriales; Herpotrichiellaceae. The record is from RNAcentral.
CGGCAACAGCUCAAAUUUGAAAUCUGGCCUUUGGCCCGAGUUGUAAUUUGUAGAGGAUGUUUCGGGUACGGUCGCGGUUUAAAUUUCUUGGAACAGAAUGUCAAAGAGGGUGAGAAUCCCGUCUUGGACCGCGGUACGGCCUAUGUGAAACUCCUUCGAC